RNAcentral lists this ribosomal RNA (417 nucleotides) under uncultured prokaryote. Its description in RNAcentral is "bacterial SSU rRNA". It matches the Rfam family "Bacterial small subunit ribosomal RNA", at positions 355 to 776 of the family's 1533-position model. The record is from RNAcentral. RNAcentral also lists the same sequence under 1 other name.
UGGGGAAUAUUGCGCAAUGGACGAAAGUCUGACGCAGCAACGCCGCGUGAGGGAUGAAGGUCUUCGGAUUGUAAACCUCUGUUGAAUGGGAAAAAAAGGUAGCAAUACUUUGAUGGUACCAUUUGAGGAAGCACCGGCUAACUACGUGCCAGCAGCCGCGGUAAUACGUAGGGUGCAAGCGUUGUUCGGAAUCACUGGGCGUAAAGGGAGCGUAGGCGGGAUCGUAAGUUAGGAGUUUAAUACAUGGGCUUAACCCGUGGCUGGCUUUUAAUACUGCGGUUCUUGAGUAUGGGAGAGGGCGAUGGAAUUCCAGGUGUAGCGGUGGAAUGCGUAGAUAUCUGGAAGAACACCAGUAGCGAAGGCGGUCGCCUGGCCUAAUACUGACGCUGAUGCUCGAAAGCUAGGGGAGCAAACAGG